UGGUGAAGUUGAAAUCAUCCCUUCGUAAAUUUUACGGACGCCAUCACGAGUUGGUUGACCGUUAUGGAAUAACCGUAUCACAAAUGAUAUCGAAUAUGUUCCUUACGUCGUAACUACAAUCCCCUUCCCUUUCCUGAAUGUGACCUACCGAAUUAGACUAUAUAUUUACCGGAUUUGUUAUCACAUAAGCAACACGACGGGUGCCGCAUGUGGAGCAGGAUCUGCUUACCCUUCCG
This 236-nucleotide long non-coding RNA is filed under the name Mytilus galloprovincialis (Mediterranean mussel). The record is from RNAcentral. Lineage: Eukaryota; Metazoa; Mollusca; Bivalvia; Mytilida; Mytilidae.